This 364-nucleotide transfer-messenger RNA is filed under the name Eubacteriales. RNAcentral's name for it is "UBA1740 sp017472305 Standard tmRNA". It matches the Rfam family "transfer-messenger RNA". From Rfam's summary of the family: Bacterial tmRNA, also known as 10Sa RNA or SsrA, is named for its dual tRNA and mRNA-like properties. Its role is to liberate the mRNA from a stalled ribosome. RNAcentral also lists the same sequence under 1 other name. Lineage: Bacteria; Bacillati; Bacillota; Clostridia. The record is from RNAcentral.
GGGGCCGUAAAGGUUUCGACGGGGGUUUUGAGGCAUGAUAAGCGUGGCGGGCCGGAUAAUCCCGUAAUACUGUCCAACUUAAAAAAUAAACGACAACAACAAAGUUGCUCUUGCAGCGUAAGCUGUGAUGCGGCAUUAAGCCGCCCGUACCGCGGGUGAGGACUACGGCUCCCGCCGUGCGUCAAAUCAGUAGUGAACAUGCACCGAGAAUUCGUCCUUAUAUCGGUCAUGCACAAAAGGACUACCCUACGGAGAGCCUGUCAUUCGGCGCUCCCGACGGGGAAGCUUAAAAGAACGACUGCCCACGGAGAAGGUUAUGUCAAGAGGCUUUCGGACACGGGUUCAAUUCCCGUCGGCUCCACCA